Long non-coding RNA from Lathyrus oleraceus (garden pea), 1021 nucleotides. RefSeq lists it as uncharacterized. The record is from RefSeq and is a predicted model, not a curated record. Lineage: Eukaryota; Viridiplantae; Streptophyta; Magnoliopsida; Fabales; Fabaceae. The transcript has 3 exons.
CCUUUGUAGAAGAUUCAGCUUGAAAGAACCAUUGAUGGAUGAUUCACUUCAGUACUUGAGCAGUGAUGCGGUCUGAUGCAGCGGUGCGGUGAUGAUGCGGUCUGGUGUGACGGCGAUGCAGUCCGGUGCGGCGACGAUGUGGUUUUAUUGCGGCGAUUCCAUGUGAUUUCAUUUCACACCGCAAUUGUGUUGCCGUUGCGGUGCCGUCCGCAACCGCAAUAUUUCGGCCGCAUCAAGUGAUGUGGUCCGCAAUUUCAUAUUCUGAUUUUGUUGUCUGUUUUAUAAAUACUAAUACACAUAUGUUAUCUCUUCUACUGGUUGUUUUACUUGUAUUAAAUAUUUUGGUUAAACUAUAUGGUAUUUUGCUACUUCUGUCACUAAGAAAACACUGGAGAGAGUGAGGCCCACUGACCAAACUAGAUGGAAACAGGAAGAGUGGUGUCUGACAGGCAGAUGGGAUCAGCGGCGACCUCAUUCGGGGUCUGGAGGCUGACCUUCACGCUCCGUUAAUAGUGACGGCAAAAGAAACGCAUAUAACAACACAUGUGGCUGUGGUUGACAAAGGGACUAGGUGGACUGGUUGAUCUGACGAUAACGAGUCUGAUGGUGUAUUCAUCAUUCUACCUAAGGUCCUGUGUUUCGGCUAGGUUUUGACACUCUUGACCGACCCAAUAAUUGUUGCAACAAGGAGUUUUGGAGGCAUAUAGCAUCAAAAUUUGGAUGAUAAGAUUAAUUCUCUCUACAAAGUAAUAGCAUCUCUUGCAGCAGUGCCUAAGUCACAAGAUUCACAAAAGGAGCAUGUCUUUGAAAACUUAUUUUCAAGUAGGACCAUCAGAAAGCUAAUUUUAGAUUGCACUGACUUUGCUUCCAUCUUAGGGGAGGAAGCUUUAAAAGGAAAAAGUGAAUUAUGGGCCCAUGGUCACAGGUUUCUGAAGAAGGAAGUGCAAUUUCAUCACUUCAUAAAAAGAUCAUCAGAUGCAAGCAACACACGUAAAGAAAAUCAUCAAAAUCCUAAACUGAC